GGUAGCUUCGGCAGCCAUAUACUAAAACUGGAAUGAUACACAGGAGACUGGCACGGCCCCUGCACAAGGAUGACACACAAAUUCAUGAAGCGUUCCAUAUUCAA
Molecule: small nuclear RNA, 104 nt
Organism: Amazona collaria (yellow-billed parrot)
Lineage: Eukaryota; Metazoa; Chordata; Aves; Psittaciformes; Psittacidae
Source: Ensembl